RNAcentral lists this ribosomal RNA (113 nucleotides) under Piromyces cryptodigmaticus. RNAcentral's name for it is "partial 5.8S ribosomal RNA". It matches the Rfam family "5.8S ribosomal RNA", at positions 1 to 113 of the family's 154-position model. Rfam says of the family: 5.8S ribosomal RNA (5.8S rRNA) is a component of the large subunit of the eukaryotic ribosome. It is transcribed by RNA polymerase I as part of the 45S precursor that also contains 18S and 28S rRNA. The record is from RNAcentral. RNAcentral also lists the same sequence under 4 other names. Lineage: Eukaryota; Fungi; Neocallimastigomycota; Neocallimastigomycetes; Neocallimastigales; Neocallimastigaceae.
CAACUUUUGACAAUGGAUCUCUUGGUUCUCGCAACGAUGAAGAACGCAGCAAAAUGCGAUAAGUAGUGUGAAUUGCAGAAUACGUGAAUCAUCGAAUCUUCGAACGCAUAUUG